RNAcentral lists this ribosomal RNA (392 nucleotides) under uncultured bacterium. RNAcentral describes it as "partial 16S ribosomal RNA". It matches the Rfam family "Bacterial small subunit ribosomal RNA", at positions 523 to 917 of the family's 1533-position model. The record is from RNAcentral.
AUACGGAGGAUGCGAGCGUUAUCCGGAUUUAUUGGGUUUAAAGGGAGCGUAGGUGGGAUAUUAAGUCAGCUGUGAAAGUUUGGGGCUCAACCUUAAAAUUGCAGUUGAUACUGGUUUCCUUGAGUACGGUACAGGUGGGCGGAAUUCGUGGUGUAGCGGUGAAAUGCUUAGAUAUCACGAAGAACUCCGAUCGCGAAGGCAGCUCACCGGGCCGGAACUGACACUGAUGCUCGAAAGUGCGGGUAUCAAACAGGAUUAGAUACCCUGGUAGUCCGCACAGUAAACGACGAAUACUCGCUGUUUGCGAUACACGGUAAGCGGCCAAGCGAAAGCGUUAAGUAUUCCACCUGGGGAGUACGCCGGCAACGGUGAAACUCAAAGGAAUUGGCGGG